UACACUCCUGCGGGAGGCAGCAGUGGGGAAUAUUGGACAAUGGGCGCAAGCCUGAUCCAGCCAUGCCGCGUGAGUGAUGAAGGCCCUAGGGUUGUAAAGCUCUUUCACCGGAGAAGAUAAUGACGGUAUCCGGAGAAGAAGCCCCGGCUAACUUCGUGCCAGCAGCCGCGGUAAUACGAAGGGGGCUAGCGUUGUUCGGAAUUACUGGGCGUAAAGCGCACGUAGGCGGAUCGAUCAGUCAGGGGUGAAAUCCCAGGGCUCAACCCUGGAACUGCCUUUGAUACUGUCGAUCUGGAGUAUGGAAGAGGUGAGUGGAAUUCCGAGUGUAGAGGUGAAAUUCGUAGAUAUUCGGAGGAACACCAGUGGCGAAGGCGGCUCACUGGUCCAUUACUGACGCUGAGGUGCGAAAGCGUGGGGAGCAAACAGGAUUAGAUACCCCUGUAGUCCCAUGAU
RNAcentral lists this ribosomal RNA (453 nucleotides) under uncultured organism. RNAcentral's name for it is "partial 16S ribosomal RNA". It matches the Rfam family "Bacterial small subunit ribosomal RNA", at positions 332 to 801 of the family's 1533-position model. The record is from RNAcentral.